This is a non-coding RNA of Mycena galericulata, 96 nucleotides long. NCBI's taxonomy places the organism in Eukaryota, Fungi, Basidiomycota, Agaricomycetes, Agaricales, Mycenaceae. The record is from the annotation of a GenBank genome assembly.
GGCAUCGUAGUGUAGUGGUAACACACCUUCAGUGAAUGGAGUUUAUUAUCCACCAUGUUUCAAUUGGAGUCAUAUGUUCGAUUUGUACUGAUGCCA